RNAcentral lists this non-coding RNA (146 nucleotides) under Human adenovirus 4. Lineage: Varidnaviria; Bamfordvirae; Preplasmiviricota; Pharingeaviricetes; Rowavirales; Adenoviridae. The record is from RNAcentral.
GGCUCACUGCCGUAGAUUGGAGAAGAAUCGCCAGGGUUGCGUUGCGGUGUGCCCCGGUUCGAGACCGCGGCUAACGAGGGCGUGGCUGCCCCGUCGUUUCCAAGACCCCAUAAGCCAGCCGACUUCUCCAGUUACGGAGCGAGCCC